Molecule: ribosomal RNA, 403 nt
Filed under: bacterium
Lineage: Bacteria
Description: partial 16S ribosomal RNA
Rfam family: Bacterial small subunit ribosomal RNA
Source: RNAcentral
UGGGGAAUAUUGCACAAUGGGGGAAACCCUGAUGCAGCGACGCCGCGUGAACGAAGAAGGUAGUCGUAUCGUACAGUUCUGUCCGAUGGGAAGAUAAUGACAGUACCAUAGAAGAAAGCUCCGGCUAAAUACGUGCCAGCAGCCGCGGUAAUACGUAUGGAGCGAGCGUUGUCCGGAAUUAUUGGGCGUAAAGGGUACGCAGGCGGUUUAAUAAGUCGAAUGUUAAAGAUCGGGGCUCAACCCCGCAAAGCAGUGGUAACUGAUAAACUUGAGUAGUGGAGAUGAGAGUGGAAUUCCUAGUGUAGUGGUGAAAUACGUAGAUAUUAGGAGGAAUACCAGUAGCGAAGGCGACUUUCUGGACACAAACUGACGCUGAGGUACGAAAGCGUGGGGUGGAAACAGG